RNAcentral lists this transfer RNA (72 nucleotides) under Marmota marmota marmota (Alpine marmot). It matches the Rfam family "tRNA". From Rfam's summary of the family: Transfer RNA (tRNA) molecules are approximately 80 nucleotides in length. RNAcentral also lists the same sequence under 1 other name. The record is from Rfam by way of RNAcentral. Lineage: Eukaryota; Metazoa; Chordata; Mammalia; Rodentia; Sciuridae.
GGGGUUGUAGCUCAGUGGUAGAGCGCUCACCUAGCAUGUGUGAGGCCCUGGAUUCGAUCCUCAGCAUCACAU